Molecule: long non-coding RNA, 236 nt
Filed under: Populus trichocarpa (black cottonwood)
Lineage: Eukaryota; Viridiplantae; Streptophyta; Magnoliopsida; Malpighiales; Salicaceae
Description: long non-coding RNA (PTRI_LNC004185)
Source: RNAcentral
UAAGCACGACUAUCAAUUGUGGUUAUCAUGGAGAUGAUGGUGAGUAUUGUACCGUAAGGGAGAUAAAGAGGAAAUUGUGUGUUUUUUUCUUUGAUAGUGAAGUUGAAAGGUAGAUGAAGAGUUGUUGGUUGGUGUUGAAAAACAUAAAAAUAGGGAGGAGCUAGCUAAGAGAGGCAAGGUCACGGUUUUGUGACUUUUUGUUUGUUUUUGGUAAUUUUUUUUGCGUAAUACUCAUU